AUUUGUGGUGGUGUUGGGUUUUUUUUUCGGUUGUUAUUAUUUUCCCUUGCAGGAUUAGGACCAUUUUCUCAUUCUAUUCUUCUAAGAGAUCUUCAAGGCAGAUAAGGCAGGGACUAAAUUCCUCAUUUCACAGACACAGAAAUUGAUUCCCAGUGAGGGAAGAGCUUGCUCAAAAUUGCAUAGUAAUUCAGUGGAAGAGCUGGGGCCAGAAUCUAUGCCUCAAUUCAGUUCAACUUAAGAAACAUUUCUUGAGAUUCUAUUGUGUGCCUAGCCCUGUGCUUGACACCAGGAGAAAUACACUUUUUGUUAAGACACAGUCUUUACCUUUCAGGAGCUUACAAUCUAGCAGGGAUGCUACAAAAUAUGGAUCUUUGUAUAUUUGAAAUUGAUUCCCUGUCUCCUGAUGAAUUUGGAUUAGCAUUUCAGAUGUAAAAUUCCAAGGUCAGAGUGUGGGCUGUGUGUGUGUGUGUGGAAACAUAAGUACCUAUUGAUUUCAUUUUAGAAAAGAGCCCAAGUCAUUUUCUGGACACUUCACAGGCAAGUGGUACUCCUCCCAUCAGUACUAAUUGUCCCUUGUUCUUUUGCUUGCACCCCCAAACCCAGCUGAGAAAGCCUUCCCAUCUUUGCUUUAUAAUAACUUCAUAGAUGAAGUCUAUAACUCGCCCUGGCAAUGACAUCAUGGAAGAAAACCUUCACAUUCUCCUUGAUAGUUAACCUUGGGUGAUUCAGGAAGCAUUCUCUUCUGAUGUUCUCAUCUUUCUCAACCAAUUACUGUGCUCAAAGGUCCCUGAAAAGGGAGGUGACCAUGCUACUCUGCUCCACCAAUCACCAUUCUGGAAUUCACUUUUCUCUCCCCUCCCACACCCAAAUGAGGGAGCAUCUCUAACACACAUCAGAUAUGGAACUCUAUGUAAAAAAAGGAAAGCCGCAAAGUCACAGUAGUGCAAUGAAGUCUGGGGCACUUGGACUCGAUUUCCUCUGCCUGGAUACACACUUUGAGAUGAGGAAGUUGAAGGUGACGGAAUUUCAAACCUUGCUUGGUGUCAAGGGUCUCCCUGAUUGCAUGUCCAGCAUUCUGUUCAUUAUGGCACACAAAGGACCUAUGACAGCCAUAUGCAGUUAGGAUCAGGACCAUUUUCUCAUUCUACCCUUUCAAGAGAUCAGGGAGGCAGCUAAGUCAUUUCACAGAUGAAGAAACUGAGAUCCAGUAAGAGGCACAGUGAAUAGAGUUGCAGG
Molecule: non-coding RNA, 1236 nt
Organism: Phascolarctos cinereus (koala)
Lineage: Eukaryota; Metazoa; Chordata; Mammalia; Diprotodontia; Phascolarctidae
Source: RefSeq, a predicted model, not a curated record